RNAcentral lists this unclassified non-coding RNA (418 nucleotides) under soil metagenome. Its description in RNAcentral is "partial contains 5.8S ribosomal RNA, internal transcribed spacer 2, and large subunit ribosomal RNA". The stretch from base 1 to 120 matches the Rfam family "5.8S ribosomal RNA", at positions 35 to 154 of the family's 154-position model. The record is from RNAcentral.
GAUGAAGAACGUAGCGAAAUGCGAUACGUAAUGUGAAUUGCAGAAUUCAGUGAAUCAUCGAAUCUUUGAACGCACAUUGCACUCUCUGGUAUUCCGGAGAGUAUGCUUGUUUGAGUAUCAGUAAACACCUCAAAUCUCUUGUUUCUUGUGAAUAAGAGAAUUGGACUUGAGCAAUCCCAACUCUUGCAAAAGAGGCGGGUUGCUUGAAAUGCAGGUGCAGCUGGACAUUCUUCUGAGCUAAAAGCAUAUUUAUUUAGUCCCGUAAAACGGAGUAUUACUUUUGCUGCAGCUAACAUAAAGGUUGAAUGGCCAAUAUGGCUGACUGAUGCAGGAUUAACAGAGAAUUUAUUCUUUGUAAACUCGAUCUCAAAUCAAGUAAGACUACCCGCUGAACUUAAGCAUAUCAAUAAGCGGAGGA